UAAUAUUUAAGAGGAGAAUUAACUGACGCAUAAAUGUUAAUUUUUUCUAUGGUACCAGAGCCCACAACGGCUAAUAUUCUCUUUAUAUAUACAAAAGGGCCGUCACUCUGCACUUGCAAACUAAAAAGAGAAAUUGACUGCAAACACCUAACAAAAUUAUAGCCCCUGUAUCCUUAUGAACAUGCUGUAAACCUACCGCAUCCAUGUGAAUAAAACUAAAAUGUACACCAUUAUUGGCAAGAUCGCCCUCCUACUUGUUGCCGAGUCCCCCAAAGAAGAGGAGAGGUGUAUUACCGCGUCUUGUUUCAGAUAUUGCCUGCUCAGUUUGUGAAACAGAACCUUUCUGUUGUUCCUUUUCCGGGAAAGGAAAUGAAAGAGAAAGGGAGAGAGAAGCAGAGACAUCCUCUACCUCCUCCACUCCAACUGCUUCCUUAGCUGAAGAAUGGUCCUGACUCACUUUCUUGUCUACUUUCCCAACUAA
This 481-nucleotide unclassified non-coding RNA is filed under the name Hevea brasiliensis (rubber tree). The record is from RNAcentral. Lineage: Eukaryota; Viridiplantae; Streptophyta; Magnoliopsida; Malpighiales; Euphorbiaceae.